UCCUAUGCUCAUCAGCUCUCAACAACCUGCAAAGAAACCGAACUGGGCCAGACAACACCCUCAUGCUUGUCCUUCCACUGGGAAAGGAUUCCGAGGCAAGGAAGGGCGUGUGGGAACUAAGCUGCCAUCCCAGCUUCCAUCCUGGCCGAGAGCACCACCUCGGGCGGACGCCGCGGUGGACUCAGAGUAGUCUGCACUCGCACCGCCCGGAUUGCCUGACGCCUGCUAGGAUUCCGAGCCGGGCGGCCUGCGCAUGCGCGGCCUGCCACUCACGCGCGGGAGCCCGCCCCCGCCCCACCUGGCUCCGCCCCCACAGCAGGCGCGGUGAGGCCACCCGAGGUGUGGAGUCUACAGGUGAGGGCGGGACGGGUCCUGCCUCUGAGUCCCCACGCUGAGGUUUGUCGGCGCUGACACCGGCCGAGCGCCGUGACCCCUGUUUCACCCUUACCUAGGUCGUGACUCACGCGCGAGUUCCACCACUGCGGUAGUAACCAGAACAAACCUCUUGCUCUUGCUAGGCUCGUGGUAGCGGCUAGCCAAAGCGUGUUCUGGAGUCCUCCAGUCCCGGGCCUAACAUGACCCAUGGACAUCGGACAUUACGGAGCAGAGAGCUUCGGCCCACAGCUGCAACAAGGAAAGAGCAAUACGAUUAUGGUUAAGUCUGUGGUAACAAUAAAGGGGCUACCCCAGGGGCCUGUGAUAUGGGGAGACACCACCGAAGCCAGUGCUCCACAAGGCUGCUUCACUGAGGUUGUUUUUAAGGGCCAUAGGGCUUUUUGGUGAUGCGCCUGCUUUUAAGUCACUCAGCUUCUGUCGUGAGACUGGAUAAAUUCGUUGGUUACAAAGCUGGGUUCGGGAGGAGUCUUCCUUGUCUGCUGUCGGAGCUAAAUUUAGGGUGAAUGGGUGUUUGUUCAUACCUCCUCAGGCAAGGCAACCCAACACCAGCCUGUUUGCUCCUCCAGGAAGCCCUGUGACCUCUACCCUACACUCUUGGCUCUCCCCUCAAAUGCAGCAUUACCUUCAAAGACAAUUUAAACCAACAGCGAACAUUGGUGCAGACACUAGGUAGGGUGAGCCUUGCCCCACUCCACGAAUAGUCAGACAUGGAUGGGGAUAUAGCUCAGUUAGAGUGUUUACUUAGCAUGCACAAAGGCCUGCUCUCGACACCAAAGAAACAAGGUGGGUGCCUGUCAUCUCCAGAUUGGGAGGUAGAGGCAGGAGAAUCAAGAGAGUUCAAGGUCACCCUCAACUACUCAAGUGCAAAGCCAGCCUAGAUGGAUUUUGUGGCACUGUCUCAAAACAAAGACAGACAGGAACAUGGGCAGUGCUGAGGACAGCUCAGAUGUGUGUGAGUGUGUGUGUGGGUGGGUGAGUGUGUGUGUGUGUGUGUGUGUGUGUGUAGGGUAUUUCAGACACCCAGGAUACUACAGAGACACCAAUAAGAUGUACUCUCUGUGCCUGUGUGGCCAGCGCUCUAGUGAGUCCCACCUCCAACCCUAGCACUAGAGUUGUUGUGGAACCCUGGGAGAGAAACUUGCCUAGGGUAAGUGAGUCCUUGGGUUCCAUCCAAAACACAGCAACAAUCAGUCAGGACGCUGGAGAGAAGCAAAACCAAUCCCCUGCACUUUAACCAACCUACAGUUUAAUAGACUUUUUGUUUUGUUUUUCUUUUCUUUUUCUUUCUUUCUUUCUUUUUUUUUUUUUUUUCAAGACAGGGUUUCUCUGGGUAGCCCUGGCUGUCUUGGAACUCAGAAAACCGCCUGCCUCUGCCUCCCGAGUGCUGGGACUAAAGGCGUGCACCACCACGCCCGGCUUAUUUUGUUUUUCAAGACAGGAUUUCUCUGUGUAUCCCUGAUGAUCCUGGAACUUGCUCUGGCCUCCAACCCAAAGAUCUGCUUGCCUCUUCGUCCUGAGUGCUGGUAUUAAAGGUGUGUACCACCACACCACCACACCUGGCUACUAGAUUCUUUCUAUAUCUCCUUUGGGUGUCAGAGGAGAAAAUAGGAAGGGGGCACACAGGAGAUCAAAAAAAAAAAUUUCUUUUGGCCAACUCAGGGCAUCCAGGCUUCCUGAUAAUAGCUUGAGAUGAUGGUGCCUCCUCCCUUAUAUAGAAAGUUGCCCCUGCAGAUCUGGUAUCAGCCUCUACUGUUCAUCAAACUCUCCACCCUUAGUGCAAUCAGAAUAAGCUCUUCAGUUUGUAUGACUGCAUAGGAAAUGAAAAUACAGGGUCCUAGCAGGGCAUAGUGGCAUAUACCUUUAGUCCCAGAACUCAGGAAGCAGGUGGAUAUCUGUGAGUCUGAGGCCAGUCUGGUCUACAGAGGGACUUCCAAGACAGCCAGGGCUACACAGAGAAUCCCUGUCUCUAAAGACUAUCCACCCCCACAACACACACACAAAGAAAAUAUAGGGUCCUGUGUUCAGACUUAUUAAGAAUUUCAAGCCUGGCCUUAUGGCUCACACCUGCACUGGGGAGGCUAAGUUAGGGGGAUUGUUGGAUGUUCAAGGGCAAAACAAAACAAAAGAAAAAACAGAAGAAUUUUAAGAUGUUGACAGCAGAGCAUUAAAUGGUAGCCUGUCCUGUCCAAGCACUCUGAUCUUUUUCACUACAUAUGUGGCACACUCGUGAAAGUGACCCCGUGUGAAGGCCUGUGAGCGCCUACCCAUUGGGCUGCCUUGAGAAAGGAGCACCCUCUGGCCUUCCCUACCCCCACCUUCUCUCUGAAGCUGAAAGCCCAGCACAGAUGAUGGAAACAUCGUCCUGGAGGCUAAAAAUACAGCUGAGAGUGUCUAGGUCAUAGCUUAAGGGCUCAAGGUCUUUCGCUCAGUUAUGUGGUGUUGGGCUCCAGCCCCAGAUGCUCAUUUCAAUGCUUUGCAUGCCUGGGGUGUUUCGGAGACUUAUUUCAUGGAAAGAAUUAGGAUAUUCAUGACAGCACCUUGCCUUCAAUAGGAUGCUGACGUUUGAGUCCAUUCGCCUGAUUACACUUUGCAGGCAGGUUCUUUUUCUCCUCCUGGGGAACCUGCCUGAGCAGUGGAGUUUGGUCAGGCUAGAGUGUAAAGCAUUGAUUGGAAUGAAGUCUGUUCUGAAGGCUCUCACGUUGCAGAUAAACACAACACAAAGGUGUCUGAUCCCAAACACCUAGAGCUUUUGCUCGGAAGGCACAGUGGUGCACACCUUUAGCCCCGGCACACUGUAGGGAGAGGCUCUCUGUGAGUUUGAAGCCAGCCUGUAACAUAGGGAGUUCCAUGCUAUCAUGGGCUACAUAAGGAGGCACCACCUUACCAAAGAAUUCCUACGGACUUUGCAGGACUUCUGAUCACAGAGCCUGUCCCCCAAGCCUUCUGAAGGAGGUCCCAAGGACCAGUGUAAUGGGUCAGCAGAGAAAGGGACAUGACACCAAGCCUAGUGAUUUGAAUUUGAUCACUGGGGCUCACAUGGCAAAAAUAGAAAACUGGUUGUUGCAUAUUGUCCCUGACCUUCACAUUCAGCCGUCACACCCAUGGGCACACACACUGAAAGACACACUAGAUGAGCAUUGUAAUUUUAAAUACACACACACACACCUGAAAGAGAUUGGGAAUAUAGGCCAAUCAGUGGACUGCUUGUCUUGCAGCUGAAUUGUGUGCUCCAUACCCAGCACUGAAAAAACUGGGUGUGGUACACAUACCUGUAAUCCCAGUACUCGGGAGGUAGAACAAGAUAGUGUAAGGCCAGCCUGGGCUACAAAGCCCUG
Molecule: long non-coding RNA, 3731 nt
Organism: Mus musculus (house mouse)
Lineage: Eukaryota; Metazoa; Chordata; Mammalia; Rodentia; Muridae
Product: predicted gene, 46268
Exons: 3
Source: RefSeq, a predicted model, not a curated record